GAUGAACGCUGGCGGCGUGCUUAACACAUGCAAGUCGAACGGUGAAGGCGGAGCUUGCUCUGCUGGAUCAGUGGCGAACGGGUGAGUAACACGUGAGCAAUCUGCCCCUGACUCUGGGAUAAGCGCUGGAAACGGCGUCUAAUACUGGAUACGAGCUGCGAAGGCAUCUUCAGCAGCUGGAAAGAACUUCGGUCAGGGAUGAGCUCGCGGCCUAUCAGCUUGUUGGUGAGGUAACGGCUCACCAAGGCGUCGACGGGUAGCCGGCCUGAGAGGGUGACCGGCCACACUGGGACUGAGAGACGGCCCAGAGUCCUACGGGAGGCAGCAGUGGGGAAUAUUGCACAAUGGGCGAGAGCCUGAUGCAGCAACGCCGCGUGAGGGACGACGGCCUUCGGGUUGUAAACCUCUUUUAGCAGGGAAGAAGCGAAAGUGACGGUACCUGCAGAAAAAGCGCCGGCUAACUACGUG
Molecule: ribosomal RNA, 468 nt
Filed under: uncultured bacterium
Lineage: Bacteria
Description: partial 16S ribosomal RNA
Rfam family: Bacterial small subunit ribosomal RNA
Source: RNAcentral